Molecule: long non-coding RNA, 235 nt
Filed under: Coffea arabica (coffee)
Lineage: Eukaryota; Viridiplantae; Streptophyta; Magnoliopsida; Gentianales; Rubiaceae
Description: long non-coding RNA (CARA_LNC008397)
Source: RNAcentral
GCCUCCUCUUCCUUGCCACUCUCAUUUCAAUCCGCUACUUCCACUCCUCUUCAGAGUUACCUCCUCUGUUUAGUUUGAAACUGAAAGGCAUAGAAGCUAUCUAGAGAGCUACCGUAUCCAUGAGGGGCAAGCCAAUGCUUUAGAGCUCUUUAGCUGCCUCUGCACGAAUUCUUCUUCCGGUUGGAAAACUAUACCUCUUCUUUCGUCUUGCGAUUGGAUGAACCAGCAAGUGGCC